Molecule: ribosomal RNA, 301 nt
Filed under: uncultured bacterium
Lineage: Bacteria
Description: partial 16S ribosomal RNA
Rfam family: Bacterial small subunit ribosomal RNA
Source: RNAcentral
CAGCCGCCACGGUAAUACGUAGGUGGCAAGCGUUGUCCGGAAUUAUUGGGCGUAAAGGGCUCGCAGGCGGUUUCUUAAGUCUGACGUGAAAGCCCCCGGCUCAACCGGGGAGGGUCAUUGGAAACUGGGAAACCUGAGUGCAGAAGAGGAGAGUGGAAUUCCACGUGUAGCGGUGAAAUGCGUAGAGAUGUGGAGGAACACCAGUGGCGAAGGCGACUCUCUGGUCUGUAACUGACGCUGAGGAGCGAAAGCGUGGGGAGCGAACAGGAUUAGAUACCCCCGUAGUCCCUGUCUCUUAUAC